Molecule: ribosomal RNA, 484 nt
Filed under: uncultured bacterium
Lineage: Bacteria
Description: partial 16S ribosomal RNA
Rfam family: Bacterial small subunit ribosomal RNA
Source: RNAcentral
AUUGAACGCUGGCGGCAGGCCUAACACAUGCAAGUCGAGCGGAUGAAGGGAGCUUGCCCCUGGAUUCAGCGGCGGACGGGUGAGUAAUGCCUAGGAAUCUGCCUGGUAGUGGGGGAUAACGUCCGGAAACGGGCGCUAAUACCGCAUACGUCCUGAGGGAGAAAGUGGGGGAUCUUCGGACCUCACGCUAUCAGAUGAGCCUAGGUCGGAUUAGCUAGUUGGUGGGGUAAAGGCCUACCAAGGCGACGAUCCGUAACUGGUCUGAGAGGAUGAUCAGUCACACUGGAACUGAGACACGGUCCAGACUCCGACGGGAGGCAGCAGUGGGGAAUAUUGGACGAUGGGCGAAAGCCUGAUCCAGCCAUGCCGCGUGUGUGAAGAAGGUCUUCGGAUUGUAAAGCACUUUAAGUUGGGAGGAAGGGCAGUAAGUUAAUACCUUGCUGUAUUGACGUUACCAACAGAAUAAGCACCGGCUAACUUCGUG